UAUUUGUAUUGAGCAAAUUUUAUUGCUAUACAUAGGACCACGUCCAGAAAAACGUGACAAUAUAAAGCACGUCCAAAACAAACAUCAAAUUAUGUAAACAAAAAUACCAUUUGUAGGCUGUAUGAUCCUUUUGAAUAAAUAUUUUGACAAGGUGGAAAAACAUAGCGUUCUUUAAGAUUGGCUACUCCUAGCUGUGAAAUGCUAACAUAAGAACACAUAAAAAACAUAUCCCCCAUUUUCUAUGCUGGUAAAAUAAGAAAGAUUGCGGGACAUGCUGAUGUAACUUAUUUUAAGGCUGCUACAAUGCAUCGUGGAGGUGGCACUCAGUUAACCAGACUUAUUUUCGUAUCCGUCGUCUUGACAAUGUUAUUUGAUAGUCUUGCUGUCUCUGAAUCGUUGAAAACUUGCUUUUCCUGCGAAAGAGAUUACGAAGAAUGUUUUUUUCAUGCUUCAUCGACCACAGAUGACGAUGGACAAGGCAUAAUGUUGUGUUCUCAAGCAAGACACAAUUGCGGAAAAACAUGUAAAAACUAAAAUGGUAGCUAUGUAAACAUUCACGACGAUGGUAACUCUAAGUUAUUGAUUAUUCUUAAUGUUUCUUACUAUUUUUUGAGGAUUUGUCUUUUAUUACGCCUAAGCAACUGGCAAAGAAAGGACCCGCUUUUUUGGAAUCAAAGGAAGAACAAUAACAAUAACACAGAAAGCAUAUAAUAAUAUUGUAACAGAAUGAGUUUGCAAGGAAGCAAAUUGUCCAAACGUA
Molecule: long non-coding RNA, 760 nt
Organism: Hydractinia symbiolongicarpus
Lineage: Eukaryota; Metazoa; Cnidaria; Hydrozoa; Anthoathecata; Hydractiniidae
Exons: 2
Source: RefSeq, a predicted model, not a curated record